AUACUUACCUGGCAGGGGACACACCAUGAUCAGGAAGGUGGUUUUCCCAGGGCAAGGCUCAUCCAUUGCACUCCGGGUGUGCUGACCCCUGCGAUUUCCCAACUGUGGGAAACUCGACUGCAUAAUUUGUGGCGGUGGGGGACUGCGUGGGAGCUCUCCCCCG
RNAcentral lists this small nuclear RNA (163 nucleotides) under Echinops telfairi (small Madagascar hedgehog). Its description in RNAcentral is "U1 spliceosomal RNA (ENSETEG00000022033.1)". It matches the Rfam family "U1 spliceosomal RNA". Rfam says of the family: U1 is a small nuclear RNA (snRNA) component of the spliceosome (involved in pre-mRNA splicing). Its 5' end forms complementary base pairs with the 5' splice junction, thus defining the 5' donor site of an intron. The record is from RNAcentral. Lineage: Eukaryota; Metazoa; Chordata; Mammalia; Afrosoricida; Tenrecidae.